Molecule: unclassified non-coding RNA, 275 nt
Filed under: Hevea brasiliensis (rubber tree)
Lineage: Eukaryota; Viridiplantae; Streptophyta; Magnoliopsida; Malpighiales; Euphorbiaceae
Source: RNAcentral
AGUAGAAGUCACUAUCAUAUGGGGCUCUUAACAGCUGGAACUCUUGAAAGUAACUGCUGCUAUCAUUGUGAGCAGUCAAGGUAUGCUCUCGAGAGUCAGUAGUCUGUUCAGUCCUCCAGUAAUCGGUUGAGGCAAGUGGCAUGCCUUGGGACAUAACAUGCAGCACGGACUGUGGCAUGCCUGUGUGACUUGCACUUGUGUGUGCAGGCUGCUCAUGUGAAACGGAUUUUUGCUCACAUGAACCCCAAGAAUUAGUUGACAGAAGAGAGAGAGCA